AUGGUCUCAAGAUCGAGCGCCGAGGCCGAGUACAGGGCUGUGGCCAACACCGCCGUGGAGUGCUCCUGGCUACGACAACUCCUUCAGGAGCUGCUAUGUGAGGUUCCCAAGGCCACGCUUGUCUACUGUGACAACGUCUCCGCGGUCUACCUCGCUGCCAACCAUGUCCAUCAUCGCCGGACGAAGCAUAUUGAGCUCAACAUCCACUUCGUUCGGGAGCAUGUCGCACUUGGUCGUGUUGGAGUUUUGCAUGUGCCCACCAAUCAACAGUUCGCCGAUGUUAUGACGAAGGGACUACCUACCUCGACUUUCGAGGUCGGUGCAGUCUUUUCGUCACCGGCGACGCUUCGACUGCGGGGGGUGUUGAACAUGUUUAUACGUAUGUAG
RNAcentral lists this ribosomal RNA (387 nucleotides) under Triticum aestivum (bread wheat). RNAcentral describes it as "partial small subunit ribosomal RNA". Lineage: Eukaryota; Viridiplantae; Streptophyta; Magnoliopsida; Poales; Poaceae. The record is from RNAcentral.